This 88-nucleotide unclassified non-coding RNA is filed under the name soil metagenome. RNAcentral's name for it is "partial internal transcribed spacer 1". The record is from RNAcentral.
ACAAAUUCAACACAACGUGUGUCACGGUGCUGUUCCCGGGUGGGGAGCCGGGACGACAAAACCUGCCAGAGCAUUAUAUGCAACGCAU